GAGAGAUGCUGAGCUGUUUUUGCGAUGUGUUCCUAAUAUGUGCUACAGUUAUAUUGGGAACAUUUUGCAUAAAUAGCUUCGUAUCAAUAACA
RNAcentral lists this microRNA precursor (92 nucleotides) under Mus pahari (shrew mouse). Its description in RNAcentral is "microRNA 450-1 (MGP_PahariEiJ_G0007838.1)". The stretch from base 8 to 85 matches the Rfam family "mir-450 microRNA precursor family". The record is from RNAcentral. Lineage: Eukaryota; Metazoa; Chordata; Mammalia; Rodentia; Muridae.